CUUGGUCAUUUAGAGGAAGUAAAAGUCGUAACAAGGUCUCCGUAGGUGAACCUGCGGAGGGAUCAUUACACAAUUAAAAUAUGAAGGCUUCGGCUGGAUUAUUUUUAUCACCCUUGUCUUUUGCGCACUUGUUGUUUCCUGGGCGGGUUCGCCCGCCACCAGGACCACACCAUAAACCUUUUUUAUGCAGUUGCAAUCAGCGUCAGUAUAACAAAUGUAAAUCAUUUACAACUUUCAACAACGGAUCUCUUGGUUCUGGCAUCGAUGAAGAACGCAGCGAAAUGCGAUACGUAGUGUGAAUUGCAGAAUUCAGUGAAUCAUCGAAUCUUUGAACGCACAUUGCGCCCUUUGGUAUUCCAAAGGGCAUGCCUGUUCGAGCGUCAUUUGUACCCUCAAGCUUUGCUUGGUGUUGGGCGUCUUGUCUCUAGCUUUGCUGGAGACUCGCCUUAAAGUAAUUGGCAGCCGGCCUACUGGUUUCGGAGCGCAGCACAAGUCGCACUCUCUAUCAGCAAAGGCCUAGCAUCCAUUAAGCCUUUUUUUCAACUUU
This 547-nucleotide ribosomal RNA is filed under the name uncultured fungus. Its description in RNAcentral is "eukaryotic LSU rRNA". The stretch from base 230 to 383 matches the Rfam family "5.8S ribosomal RNA". The record is from RNAcentral. Lineage: Eukaryota; Fungi.